GUGCCUUUUUCCAUAAUUUUUUCUUAUAACCAGCCCUUCUCAUCCAAAGGCCACAAUGAAGUCAAAGAAAACUAUAGAUGACAGCUUUCACAAUCUUUCUCUUGCCUUUUCGUGUACUGACGUAUGUUAGAGAUCUGACUGGCAGCUUCAAGGCACUUGGAAGCAAGAGGGCCACUCUAUUAAGGAUCGCUGAAGUAUGCCCACAUGUCAGGUUUCUCUCAGAUGUG
This 227-nucleotide non-coding RNA is filed under the name Pongo abelii (Sumatran orangutan). Lineage: Eukaryota; Metazoa; Chordata; Mammalia; Primates; Hominidae. The record is from RNAcentral.